RNAcentral lists this unclassified non-coding RNA (271 nucleotides) under air metagenome. Its description in RNAcentral is "partial contains small subunit ribosomal RNA, internal transcribed spacer 1, and 5.8S ribosomal RNA". The stretch from base 1 to 46 matches the Rfam family "Eukaryotic small subunit ribosomal RNA", at positions 1786 to 1831 of the family's 1831-position model. The record is from RNAcentral.
AAGUCGUAACAAGGUUUCCGUAGGUGAACCUGCGGAAGGAUCAUUAAUGAAUUGAAAGGGAGUUGAUGCUGGCUGCACAUCUGGGCAGCAUGUGCUCGCUCCUGACAAUAUUAUCCAUACACCUGUGCACCUUUUUGAGGGAUCUGAGCCGCUAGCAAUGGCGGAUUAGACUCUUGAUUUCAAAACAUACACAAAAUUAAUACUCGGACGUGAUCGCGUCUUAUGGCGCUCAAACUAUAUACAACUUUUAACAACGGAUCUCUUGGCUCUC